UUUGCAGCGGGAGAAGGUGAUAAGGUAAUAACCUCAGCGAUUGACGUUACUCAGCAGAAGAAGCACGGGCUAACUCCGUGCCAGCAGCCGCGGUAAUACGGAGGGUGCAAGCGUUUAUCGGAAUUACUGGGCGUAAAGCGCACGCAGGCGGUCUGUCAAUUCGGAUGUGAAAUCCCCGGGUUCACCGUGGGAACUGCAUUGGAAACUGGCAGGCUAGAGUCUGGUAGAGGGAGGUAGAAUUCCAGGUGAAGCGGUGAAAUGCGUAGAGAUCUGGAGGAAUCCCGGUGGCGAAGGCGCCCCCUUGUACAUAGACUGCCGUUCAGGUGCGAAAGCGUGGGGAGCAACCAGGAUAAGAUACCUUGGUAGUCCACGCGGUAAACGAUGUCGACUAGGAGGUUGUGCCCUUGAGGCGUGGCUUCCGGAGCUAACGCGUUAAGUCGUCCGCCUGGGGAGUACGGCCGCAAGGUUAAAACUCAAAUGAAUUGACGGGGGCCCGCACAAGCGGUGGAGCAUGUGGUUUAAUUCGAUGCAACGCGAAGAACCUUACCUACUCUUGACAUCCAGAGAACUUUCCAGAGAUGGAUUGGUUCCUUCGGGAACUGUGAGACAGGUGCUGCAUGGCUGUCGUCAGCUCGUGUUGUGAAAUGUUGGGUUAAGUCCCGCAACGAGCGCAACCCUUAUCCUUUGUUGCCAGCGGUUAGGCCGGGAAUUCAAAGGAGACUGCCAGUGAUAAACUGGAGGAAGGUGGGGAUGACGUCAAGUCAUCAUGGCCCUUACGAGUAGGGCUACACACGUGUUACAAUGGCGCAUACAAAGAGAAGCGACCUCGCGAGAGCAAGCGGUCUUCAUAAACUGUGUUGUAGUCCGGAUUGGAGUCUGCAAUUCGACUCCAUGAAGUGGGAAUCGUUAGUAAUCGUAGAUCAGAAUGCUACGGUGAAUACGUUCCCGGCCCUUGUACACACCGCCCGUCACACCAUGGGAGUGGGUGCAAAAGAAGUAGGUAGCUUACCCUUCGGGAGGGCGCUACC
This 1028-nucleotide ribosomal RNA is filed under the name Enterobacter mori. RNAcentral describes it as "bacterial SSU rRNA". It matches the Rfam family "Bacterial small subunit ribosomal RNA", at positions 434 to 1457 of the family's 1533-position model. Lineage: Bacteria; Pseudomonadati; Pseudomonadota; Gammaproteobacteria; Enterobacterales; Enterobacteriaceae. The record is from RNAcentral.